GACGUAGCCAAGUGGAUUAAGGCAGU
RNAcentral lists this transfer RNA (26 nucleotides) under Meesia uliginosa. Its description in RNAcentral is "partial tRNA-His". The record is from RNAcentral. Lineage: Eukaryota; Viridiplantae; Streptophyta; Bryopsida; Splachnales; Meesiaceae. RNAcentral also lists the same sequence under 2 other names.